This 493-nucleotide ribosomal RNA is filed under the name uncultured bacterium. RNAcentral's name for it is "bacterial SSU rRNA". It matches the Rfam family "Bacterial small subunit ribosomal RNA", at positions 28 to 536 of the family's 1533-position model. The record is from RNAcentral.
GACGAACGCUGGCGGCAUGCCUAACACAUGCAAGUCGAACGGAGGUAUGGGCUUCGGCCCAUGCCUUAGUGGCGAACGGGUGAGUAACACGUGAGCAACCUGCCCCGUACUACGGGAUAACACUAAGAAAUUAGUGCUAAUACGGUAUAUGACCACACCGAGGCAUCUCGGAGGGGUAAAAGCGUUUAGCGGUACGGGAUGGGCUCGCGGCCAAUUAGCUAGUUGGUGAGGUAACGGCCCACCAAGGCGACGAUUGGUAGCCGACUUGAGAGAGUGAUCGGCCACACUGGAACUGAGACACGGUCCAGACUCCUACGGGAGGCAGCAGUGGGGAAUAUUGGGCAAUGGAGGAAACUCUUACCCAGCAAUGCCGCGUGAGUGAAGAAGGUCUUCGGAUUGUAAAGCUCUUUGAUUGGGGACGAAUUAAUGACGGUACCCAAGGAACAAGCCCCGGCUAACAUGUGCCAGCAGCCGCGGGUAAAAUAGGCGUACU